UUCAAUGAAAUCGACUGUUUGGGCCAGUUUGGCCCUUUCCCAUUUGUAUAUGCUAGUAGUGGCACGAUCGGUGGGAUCACGAAAGGCGGUAAUAAUCCUGAAACCAACAAAUAAUGACGAAUCGGCAGUAUUGAGGAUCACUCUGGAUCCCUCCUCCUGUCCUGACAUACUCUUCAAGCUUCUGGUCGAGUUCAGCAUAUAUUAGAACGGGCUGUUUUCACGUUUGGAGAGACCUACUUACACCAACGCUGGCGAGGAUGGGUGACAUCAAAUACGCUUAUCCAUAUCCUGCUUCAGGAGUGUAUGAUGGACCGCCGGUGAUGGCGCUGCCUCCGUAUGUUUAUGGGGCUUAUCCACCGCCAAGGACCAAUACCGGGUUCCCAGACGCAUGGUAAACUAAAAAUCGGCCAUGCGAUUUUCUUGAAGUUGUCUAUAUAUUCCUUUAUUUACCUAUCGUCCAGCAGUAUUUGGCGUUUAUAUCUAUCUAUGCAUAUGGCGAUUCCCUCUUUUGUGAGUUUUUGUGUGCGUUGGGGAAUAUAGCCUUGCAGCAUUAUGUUGUUGUUGCCUGCUGGAUACAUGCUGCUGGCAUUUGGACCCCUUCCUCUUCAUGUAGCAGCAAACAAGCACAUAAGCGGUGAACCACAAAGUCCUUUCCUUGGUGGAAGGCCCUUCAGUUUUAUUUCCUUCCCUUUGUCUAGACCUCUUUGUAAAAUAUCCUCCUUUGUAAGAAGUCACUGUGUGCUUUUCUUCUUUGCCAACAAAAGCUGAGUUCCCAAACAAACUCGUGUGAUUUUGGGUAGUAUCAUUAUCCGGUCGCAUCUAUAAGUAGAAAAUAAAACAAGUUAAAUCAAAGUA
Molecule: long non-coding RNA, 855 nt
Organism: Syzygium oleosum
Lineage: Eukaryota; Viridiplantae; Streptophyta; Magnoliopsida; Myrtales; Myrtaceae
Exons: 2
Source: RefSeq, a predicted model, not a curated record